GCAACUCCAACCGACCACAUCGAUGGCAACGCGCGUUUGCGGACGCAGGGUGCGAUCCGUGGCCGCCUCGGCUGGACCUCGAAUGCAUGGUUGCUGUACGCGGUCGGCGGUGUGGCAUUUGGCCAGACGGACACGACGUUGAGCAUUGUACGUGAUGGUNNNNNNNNCGCACCACGUCCGAUACCCGGGUCGGCUGGACCGCUGGUGCCGGCGUUGAAUACAUGAUGGCCCCGAACUGGAUUGUUGGCGUUGAGUAUCGCUACACCGAUCUCGGCCGCGCUGAUGUCACGGUCCCUGCGGGAGCAUUCCCGGUCGCUCACGGAGCCGCAUUCGGUAGUGCCGACUACCGCACCAACGAUGUUCGAGCUCGCAUCAGCUACAAGUUUGGCGGCCCGGUCGUCGCCAAAUACUGAUCCUAUGAAGCACUGAAGACUACGGACG
Molecule: unclassified non-coding RNA, 441 nt
Filed under: Hevea brasiliensis (rubber tree)
Lineage: Eukaryota; Viridiplantae; Streptophyta; Magnoliopsida; Malpighiales; Euphorbiaceae
Source: RNAcentral